Molecule: transfer RNA, 70 nt
Filed under: marine eukaryotic metagenome
Rfam family: tRNA
About the family: Transfer RNA (tRNA) molecules are approximately 80 nucleotides in length.
Source: RNAcentral
CGGUUAGCUCAGCUGGUUAGAGCGCCUGCUUUACACGCAGGAGGCCGCAGGUUCGAGUCCUGCACUGCCC